This is an RNA transcript of Xenopus tropicalis (tropical clawed frog), 1794 nucleotides long. It is a transcript of the gene named RNA binding protein with multiple splicing 2, with no coding region annotated. NCBI's taxonomy places the organism in Eukaryota, Metazoa, Chordata, Amphibia, Anura, Pipidae. The transcript has 9 exons. The record is from RefSeq and is a predicted model, not a curated record.
UUGAUGAGCAAACUGGAAGCCUCUCCACUCCUCACUGCCCUCUCCUAAUCCUCCCCUUUUCUUAAUUACGCUUUGACAUCAGGAAGGGGGUGGUAUAAAGCGCGUUCAAGCCCCCUGUCUCUUUUGCACUUUCCCACCUUAGCACUCACUCAUACACACCACACAAGCGUACUCUCCGCACCCACACUGCACCUCUACACCACUUCCAUCUAGGAGAACAAGAGUUGGUUCCAAACAGCCGACUAACGUCCCAUACACGCAGCCACCAUAGAAGCACAGAGCGGGAAGGAGCACGCAUCCUCUGGCACCCAGGCACCCACAAACUCGCCACCGUGGAGCCCACAGAGGAAUCGGCUGUUGGCUUGUACACCAUGAGUAGCCUCAAGCCAGAGAGUGAGCACAAUAAUAAUAAUAUAGAGGAAGAGGUACGAACUCUAUUUGUUAGUGGGCUACCUAUUGACAUCAAACCCAGGGAACUUUAUUUGCUUUUUCGACCAUUUAAGCUGGGGGUCAAACUGCAGUGAAAGGGUUAUGAAGGAUCACUCAUCAAGCUUACCUCAAAACAGCCUGUUGGCUUUGUCACAUUUGACAAUAGGGCUGGAGCUGAAGCUGCAAAGAACGCCUUAAAUGGCAUCCGUUUUGACCCAGAAAACCCACAGACAUUACGGCUAGAGUUUGCCAAGGCUAACACAAAGAUGGCAAAGAACAAAUUAAUGGCUACACCAAACCCCACAAACCUCCACCCUGCACUUGGAGCACACUUCAUUGCACGAGAUCCAUAUGACUUAACUGGGGCUGCACUAAUCCCAGCAUCACCAGAGGCUUGGGCUCCCUACCCACUGUAUACUGCAGAACUUGCUCCAGCCAUUCCACAUGCUGCUUUCACAUACCCUGCUGCUGCUGCUGCCGCUGCUGCACUUCAUGCCCAGAUGCGUUGGUAUCCUCCAUCUGAAGCAACCCAGCAGGCAUGGAAGUCUCGCCAGUUUUGUUAGAGCUCUUUGGUUCCUUCAUACCAUUUUGAGGAUUUCAUUUUGUGCUCUCCAUGAAUUGAUGUGCCAAGCAAUAAAUUAGUUCUAGUAGAAUAUCUAACCCAUGGACCAGGACCAGUCAUCCAGCAUUAAGACCUUUUAGUCAACUCCUUACUUUCCACCAUCAAUUCACUGGGCUGUUUCAGCUACAUCCAAGAAAAGACUGCAUAGGUUAACUUGAGCAUGGCUGUUACAGUGUAAAAUGUACCGCUUAUUGGUGGGAUUGGGAGGGUUUGCAUGUUUUCUAGCAUGAAUUAACUGUCUGCUUGAUGUAAACAUUACAUAAGAUUAUAGUUAAAUUUCAGGGUAACCUUUUGAUCUGUAAAAGCUUGGUACUUCCCAUUCUACAUACUGUUAAAUUUCGCUGUUCCCCACCCACUAUUUACUGUUCAAUGUCAGAGUUCUGUCCAUUUUCAUUGGAGAGUUUUUGUUCUUGCCAAGUGUAAUGCAACCUUAAUGGGAAACUGAGCAAAAGUACCAGUAUUUUUGUAACAUGUUAAUAAGGAGAUAUUUAUGCAUUUGUUUUUCUUGUGUGAUAAUUAUUAAAGAAUAUAUUAAGUUAAUAUUAUGUUAAAAAGCUUGAAGAUUCUGUAUGGUUUGUCUGCUGUACUUCAUGAACAAUUGUGCAAUUUUUUUGUGUUCCAUUUGCAUUCUGCUUGAUAUUUCAGUAUUAUGAGAGAUGUAUUUUGCCUGUAGAGUGAAUUUUCUCUUGCUGAUCUUAUGAGAAUGUGAUAAUGGAUAAAAAAAAUUAUAUAAAUACAAACUU